GUUUGAUCCUGGCUGAGGAUGAACGCUGGCGGCGUGCUUAACACAUGCAAGUCGAACGAUGAUCUCCAGCUUGCUGGGGGGAUUAGUGGCGAACGGGUGAGUAACACGUGAGUAACCUGCCCUUGACUCUGGGAUAAGCCUGGGAAACUGGGUCUAAUACCGGAUAUGACCAUCUGGCGCAUGUCAUGGUGGUGGAAAGCUUUUUUGUGGUUUUGGAUGGACUCGCGGCCUAUCAGCUUGUUGGUGGGGUAAUGGCCUACCAAGGCGACGACGGGUAGCCGGCCUGAGAGGGUGACCGGCCACACUGGGACUGAGACACGGCCCAGACUCCUACGGGAGGCAGCAGUGGGGAAUAUUGCACAAUGGGCGCAAGCCUGAUGCAGCGACGCCGCGUGAGGGAUGACGGCCUUCGGGUUGUAAACCUCUUUCAGUAGGGAAGAAGCGUAAGUGACGGUACCUGCAGAAGAAGCGCCGGCUAACUACGUGCCAGCAGCCGCGGUAAUACGUAGGGCGCAAGCGUUAUCCGGAAUUAUUGGGCGUAAAGAGCUCGUAGGCGGUUUGUCGCGUCUGCUGUGAAAGACCGGGGCUCAACUCCGGUUCUGCAGUGGGUACGGGCAGACUAGAGUGCAGUAGGGGAGACUGG
This 643-nucleotide ribosomal RNA is filed under the name bacterium TN55C. Its description in RNAcentral is "bacterial SSU rRNA". It matches the Rfam family "Bacterial small subunit ribosomal RNA", at positions 11 to 664 of the family's 1533-position model. The record is from RNAcentral.